Molecule: ribosomal RNA, 441 nt
Filed under: uncultured bacterium
Lineage: Bacteria
Description: partial 16S ribosomal RNA
Rfam family: Bacterial small subunit ribosomal RNA
Source: RNAcentral
CCUACGGGUGGCAGCAGUGGGGAAUAUUGCACAAUGGGCGAAAGCCUGAUGCAGCAACGCCGCGUGAAGGAAGACGGUUUUCGGAUUGUAAACUUCUGUUCUUAGUGAAGAAUAAUGACGGUAACUAAGGAGCAAGCCACGGCUAACUACGUGCCAGCAGCAGCGGUAAUACGUAGGUGGCAAGCGUUGUCCGGAAUUACUGGGUGUAAAGGGAGCGUAGGCGGGAAGCCAAGUCAGCUGUGAAAGCUACGGGCUUAACCUGUGGACUGCAGUUGAAACUGGCUUUCUUGAGUGAAGUAGAGGUUGGCAGAAUUCCGAGUGUAGCGGUGAAAUGCGUAGAGAUGCGGAGGAACACCGGUGGCGAAGGCGGCCAACUGGGCUUGAACUGACGCUGAGGCUCGAAAGUGUGGGGAGCAAACAGGAUUAGAUACCCUUGUAGUC